ACUCCAAUCUGCGCACAACCCUCGAAUGGUACUUAAAGCACCGUUUCGAAGUAACCUGCGCGCUUUUAUUUUUCACUCGAAGGGAAGCAUUAGUCGUCAUUAUAAGCAGUCUUUAUAAAAUGUUUCAUCAGAUUGUACUACUUUUGGCUAUUGGAGGUUAUGCUGUUAAUGGACAAUUUGAUACCAGUUCUUGUGCAGACUUUAAUUCCAAAAUUGACAAAUGUUAUACAGAUAAUAAUCUUACAGUAAGGGGUGAUGUACGAACACUGUCAGCUAUACAAAGAUUGUUCCUUCAAGACACAGCAGAAAUAUGCGGUGCAUUGAAAGACAGCUUUAAGAAUGCCGUGGGUUGUUUCAUUGACCUACUUAGAGGAUGUGUUUCGGCUAAUGACAGGACAUUGGUAGCUUCUUCAAGUAAUUAUAAAGAAGCAUAUGAUCUGCUCUGUAGUGACGGACCUACUGAUAGAAACUGUGUUGGAACAUAUGUAACAUCUUGUUUAGGGCGUAAAUUGACUGCAGCUGGUCUCAAUCCGCGGGGGCCAUUCACCAGCGACACUUACGACGUCCAGAAAAAUCAUAUCUGCAAGCAGGCUGAAUUUUAUUUGACCUGUAUAAACGCAAAACCGGUGGAGCCGAAUUGUAGAGCAGCCUCCAUAGAAAAGGAUGCCAAAAUAGUUACCAAACUAGCCCCUGAAGCAUGCGGGGCUAUGUCCAUAAUUUAUACAUCCCUACUUCUGGUCGCUUCUCUCCUUGUCACUCUCUGUAAUGCUAUCGGUUAAUAUCGUCCAUAGUCACAUGUUUUAGCAUUUAGUACUUUUUUUUUUAAAAAAAAACACAGUAUUACUGUAUCUAUUAUAUGCGUAUGAUCCGUUGAGAUUUUCUAUAAGAUUGUUUGUUCAGACUUCAUGAUGAUUUUAAAUCGGAUUAUAUUUCUGAACUAUUCAAAUAAAUAUGGUUGUCUGCCGGGUUAUACCAAUGUAUUAACUAUUUUUGUUGAGUGAUUAUAUGCGUUUACCCGGUGCCCCCACCCAUCUGUCCAUAACUCGUGUAAAUUCGAUAAAGAUUGGAUUUUGAUAAUAGUUUGCACUUCCUGGAAUGUACAAAUCCCAGAUCUCAGAGACUUUGAGUGAAUAACAGUUCCUCUUCUGAUGGGCGGUUAUAUUUAACAGUAUUUCGUAACUUCUAAAUCACAAAUUCACCUAUGGUCUUAAGCUAAAACACGGCCAUUGUUAGUCUGAUACAUAUAAUAGUCACAUAUUUUAACAUUUAGUAGUUUGUUUGUUUUUUAAAAAAGUAUUAUGCUAUCUAUUAUAUGCGUAUGAUCCGUUGACAUUUUCUAUACGAUUGUUUGUUCAGACUUCAUGAUGAUUUUAAAUCGGAUUAUAUUUCUGAACUGUUCAAAUAAAUAUGGUUGUCUGCCGGUUAUACCAAUGUAUCAACCAUUUUUGUUGAGUGAUUAUAUGAAUUUACCCAGUGCCUCCAUCCAUCUGUCCAUAACUCGUGUAAAUUCGAUAAAGAUUGGAUUUUGAUAUUUGUUUACACUUCCUGGAAUGAACAAAUCCCAGAUCUCAGAGAUUUUAAGUGAAUAACAGUAUGGCGGUAUAUUAGAUUCAAAAUUCUAACAUGCUAUCGUCUAAUUUCUUACUUCUACUCAUGUAAUUUCUAACUUCCAUUCAUGUAAUUUCUAAUUUAAGACAAUGUAUAAUCCAACUUAUUUAUUUGUUCAGUGUAAAUUUUAAUUCUAUUUCAUCUUAUUUCUAUUAUUAAGGCGAAAAAUGUCUAGUCGCUUUACAUGUUAAGCAUGAACGGCAAACAAAUUUAGAAUUUUGAUACUUCUACCUAGCAACCAUCAUUAUGACGCCACCGUUCGCUCAAUUUCUAUUCCAUAUUUAGUGUUCUAGUUUAAAUAAUAUUUUAUGUAAUCUUUCCUAUUUAGUGUUCUAGUUUAAAUAAUAAUUUAUGUAAUCUUUGCUAUUUAAUAUUUAUUGUUCUAGUUUAAAUAAUAUUUUAUCUUAUCUUUUCUAUUUAAUAUAUAAUGUUCUAGAAUUGGGUUUAAAUAAUGUUUUAUGUAUUCUUAUUUAGCUAGAAUGUCAGUAAGAUUUAGUUUGUAUAACUAUAUAAUAAAGUAAUCAUAAUAA
Long non-coding RNA from Patella vulgata (common limpet), 2138 nucleotides. RefSeq lists it as uncharacterized. The transcript has 5 exons. NCBI's taxonomy places the organism in Eukaryota, Metazoa, Mollusca, Gastropoda, Patellidae. The record is from RefSeq and is a predicted model, not a curated record.